RNAcentral lists this unclassified non-coding RNA (285 nucleotides) under plant metagenome. RNAcentral's name for it is "partial contains small subunit ribosomal RNA, internal transcribed spacer 1, and 5.8S ribosomal RNA". The stretch from base 1 to 54 matches the Rfam family "Eukaryotic small subunit ribosomal RNA", at positions 1778 to 1831 of the family's 1831-position model. The record is from RNAcentral.
GGAUGUAAAAGUCGUAACAAGGUUUCCGUAGGUGAACCUGCGGAAGGAUCAUUAUUGUAUAACCGAGAUGCGAGGGCUGUCGCUGACCCGAAAGGUCGUGCACGCCCGAGUGCCCUCACACACAUCCAUCUCACCCCUAUGUGCACCACCGCGUGGGUCCCCCUUUGGCUUGUUCGGAGGGGGGCUUACGUUUUCACACAAACUUUGUAUGCAGUGUAGAAUGUAUUUUUUGUUUUUGCGAUCACGCAAUCAAUACAACUUUCAACAACGGAUCUCUUGGCUCUC